GACAGAGGGGGCAAGCGUUGCUCGGAAUCACUGGGCGUAAAGGGCGCGUAGGCGGGAUGGCAAGUCGGUCGUGAAAUCCUUCGGCCCAACCGAAGAACGUCGGCCGAUACUGCCAUUCUUGAGGGAUGCAGAGGAGACUGGAAUUCCCGGUGUAGCGGUGAAAUGUGUAGAGAUCGGGAGGAACACCAAUGGCGAAGGCAGCUCGCUGGGACGUGACUGACGCUGAGGAACGAAAGCUAGGGGAGCAAACAGG
This 253-nucleotide ribosomal RNA is filed under the name uncultured bacterium. RNAcentral's name for it is "partial 16S ribosomal RNA". It matches the Rfam family "Bacterial small subunit ribosomal RNA", at positions 524 to 776 of the family's 1533-position model. The record is from RNAcentral.